UUAAGCGACUAAGCGUACACGGUGGAUGCCCUGGCAGUCAGAGGCGAUGAAGGACGUGCUAAUCUGCGAAAAGCGCCGGCGAGGUGAUAUGAACCUUUGACCCGGCGAUGUCCGAAUGGGGAAACCCAGUGUGAUUCGUCACACUAUCGUUAACUGAAUACAUAGGUUAACGAGGCGAACCGGGGGAACUGAAACAUCUAAGUACCCCGAGGAAAAGAAAUCAACCGAGAUUCCCCCAGUAGCGGCGAGCGAACGGGGAGCAGCCCAGAGUCUGAAUCAGCUUGUGUGUUAGUGGAAGCGUCUGGAAAGUCGCACGGUACAGGGUGACAGUCCCGUACACGAAAGCACACAGGUUGUGAACUCGAAGAGUAGGGCGGGACACGUGGUAUCCUGUCUGAAUAUGGGGGGACCAUCCUCCAAGGCUAAAUACUCCUGACUGACCGAUAGUGAACCAGUACCGUGAGGGAAAGGCGAAAAGAACCCCGGCGAGGGGAGUGAAAAAGAACCUGAAACCGUGUACGUACAAGCAGUGGGAGCACCUUCGUGGUGUGACUGCGUACCUUUUGUAUAAUGGGUCAGCGACUUAUAUUCUGUAGCAAGGUUAACCGUAUAGGGGAGCCGAAGGGAAACCGAGUCUUAACUGGGCGUUAAGUUGCAGGGUAUAGACCCGAAACCCGGUGAUCUAGCCAUGGGCAGGUUGAAGGUUGGGUAACACUAACUGGAGGACCGAACCGACUAAUGUUGAAAAAUUAGCGGAUGACUUGUGGCUGGGGGUGAAAGGCCAAUCAAACCGGGAGAUAGCUGAUUCUCCCCGAAAGCUAUUUAGGUAGCGCCUCGUGAACUCAUCUUCGGGGGUAGAGCACUGUUUCGGCUAGGGGGCCAUCCCGGCUUACCAACCCGAUGCAAACUACGAAUACCGAAGAAUGUUAUCACGGGAGACACACGGCGGGUGCUAACGUCCGUCGUGAAGAGGGAAACAACCCAGACCGCCAGCUAAGGUCCCAAAGUCAUGGUUAAGUGGGAAACGAUGUGGGAAGGCACAGACAGCCAGGAUGUUGGCUUAGAAGCAGCCAUCAUUUAAAGAAAGCGUAAUAGCUCACUGGUCGAGUCGGCCUGCGCGGAAGAUGUAACGGGGCUAAACCAUGCACCGAAGCUGCGGCAGCGACACUAUGUGUUGUUGGGUAGGGGAGCGUUCUGUAAGCCGUUGAAGGUGUGCUGUGAGGCAUGCUGGAGGUAUCAGAAGUGCGAAUGCUGACAUAAGUAACGAUAAAGCGGGUGAAAAGCCCGCUCGCCGGAAGACCAAGGGUUCCUGUCCAACGUUAAUCGGGGCAGGGUGAGUCGACCCCUAAGGCGAGGCCGAAAGGCGUAGUCGAUGGGAAACAGGUUAAUAUUCCUGUACUUGGUGUUACUGCGAAGGGGGGACGGAGAAGGCUAUGUUAGCCGGGCGACGGUUGUCCCGGUUUAAGCAUGUAGGCGGAACGAUUAGGUAAAUCCGGUCGUUUUUUAACGCUGAGGUGUGAUGACGAGGCACUACGGUGCUGAAGUAACAAAUGCCCUGCUUCCAGGAAAAGCCUCUAAGCAUCAGGUAACAUCAAAUCGUACCCCAAACCGACACAGGUGGUCAGGUAGAGAAUACCAAGGCGCUUGAGAGAACUCGGGUGAAGGAACUAGGCAAAAUGGUGCCGUAACUUCGGGAGAAGGCACGCUGAUAUGUAGGUGAAGCCCCUGCGGGUGGAGCUGAAAUCAGUCGAAGAUACCAGCUGGCUGCAACUGUUUAUUAAAAACACAGCACUGUGCAAACACGAAAGUGGACGUAUACGGUGUGACGCCUGCCCGGUGCCGGAAGGUUAAUUGAUGGGGUUAGCGGCAACGCGAAGCUCUUGAUCGAAGCCCCGGUAAACGGCGGCCGUAACUAUAACGGUCCUAAGGUAGCGAAAUUCCUUGUCGGGUAAGUUCCGACCUGCACGAAUGGCGUAAUGAUGGCCAGGCUGUCUCCACCCGAGACUCAGUGAAAUUGAACUCGCUGUGAAGAUGCAGUGUACCCGCGGCAAGACGGAAAGACCCCGUGAACCUUUACUAUAGCUUGACACUGAACACUGGUCCUUGAUGUGUAGGAUAGGUGGGAGGCUUUGAAGUGUGGACGCCAGUCUGCAUGGAGCCGUCCUUGAAAUACCACCCUUUAAUGGCUGGUGUUCUAACGUAGACCCGUAAUCCGGGUUGCGGACAGUGUCUGGUGGGUAGUUUGACUGGGGCGGUCUCCUCCCAAAGAGUAACGGAGGAGCACGAAGGUUAGCUAAUCCUGGUCGGACAUCAGGAGGUUAGUGCAAUGGCAUAAGCUAGCUUGACUGCGAGAGUGACGGCUCGAGCAGGUGCGAAAGCAGGUCAUAGUGAUCCGGUGGUUCUGAAUGGAAGGGCCAUCGCUCAACGGAUAAAAGGUACUCCGGGGAUAACAGGCUGAUACCGCCCAAGAGUUCAUAUCGACGGCGGUGUUUGGCACCUCGAUGUCGGCUCAUCACAUCCUGGGGCUGAAGUAGGUCCCAAGGGUAUGGCUGUUCGCCAUUUAAAGUGGUACGCGAGCUGGGUUUAGAACGUCGUGAGACAGUUCGGUCCCUAUCUGCCGUGGGCGCUGGAGAAUUGAGGGGGGCUGCUCCUAGUACGAGAGGACCGGAGUGGACGCAUCACUGGUGUUCGGGUUGUCAUGCCAAUGGCACUGCCCGGUAGCUAAAUGCGGAAAAGAUAAGUGCUGAAAGCAUCUAAGCACGAAACUUGCCCCGAGAUGAGUUCUCCCUGAGACUUUAAGUCUCCUGAAGGAACGUUGAAGACGACGACGUUGAUAGGUCGGGUGUGUAAGCGCAGCGAUGCGUUGAGCUAACCGAUACUAAUGAACCGUGAGGCUUAACCU
This 2902-nucleotide ribosomal RNA is filed under the name Enterobacter roggenkampii. RNAcentral's name for it is "23S ribosomal RNA". It matches the Rfam family "Bacterial large subunit ribosomal RNA". Lineage: Bacteria; Pseudomonadati; Pseudomonadota; Gammaproteobacteria; Enterobacterales; Enterobacteriaceae. The record is from RNAcentral.